This 761-nucleotide ribosomal RNA is filed under the name Prevotella melaninogenica. RNAcentral describes it as "bacterial SSU rRNA". It matches the Rfam family "Bacterial small subunit ribosomal RNA", at positions 28 to 776 of the family's 1533-position model. The record is from RNAcentral. Lineage: Bacteria; Pseudomonadati; Bacteroidota; Bacteroidia; Bacteroidales; Prevotellaceae.
GAUGAACGCUAGCUACAGGCUUAACACAUGCAAGUCGAGGGGAAACGGCAUUUAGUGCUUGCACUGAAUGGACGUCGACCGGCGCACGGGUGAGUAACGCGUAUCCAACCUACCCAUUACUGUGGGAUAACCUGCCGAAAGGCAGACUAAUACCGCAUAGUCUUCGAUGACGGCAUCAGAUUUGAAGUAAAGAUUUAUCGGUAAUGGAUGGGGAUGCGUCUGAUUAGCUUGUUGGCGGGGUAACGGCCCACCAAGGCAACGAUCAGUAGGGGUUCUGAGAGGAAGGUCCCCCACAUUGGAAUUGAGACACGGUCCAAACUCCUACGGGAGGCAGCAGUGAGGAAUAUUGGUCAAUGGACGAGAGUCUGAACCAGCCAAGUAGCGUGCAGGAUGACGGCCCUAUGGGUUGUAAACUGCUUUUGUAUGGGGAUAAAGUCAAUCACGUGUGAUUGUUUGCAGGUACCAUACGAAUAAGGACCGGCUAAUUCCGUGCCAGCAGCCGCGGUAAUACGGAAGGUCCGGGCGUUAUCCGGAUUUAUUGGGUUUAAAGGGAGCGUAGGCCGGAGAUUAAGUGUGUUGUGAAAUGUAGACGCUCAACGUCUGACUUGCAGCGCAUACUGGUUUCCUUGAGUACGCACAACGUUGGCGGAAUUCGUCGUGUAGCGGUGAAAUGCUUAGAUAUGACGAAGAACUCCGAUUGCGAAGGCAGCUGACGGGAGCGCAACUGACGCUUAAGCUCGAAGGUGCGGGUAUCGAACAGG